RNAcentral lists this ribosomal RNA (621 nucleotides) under Triticum aestivum (bread wheat). RNAcentral describes it as "partial small subunit ribosomal RNA". Lineage: Eukaryota; Viridiplantae; Streptophyta; Magnoliopsida; Poales; Poaceae. The record is from RNAcentral.
GUGCCUCACAGCCUUGAUGUCAUGCAUAUCACAAAGAAUGUGUGCGAGAGUCUGCUUGGUACCCUGCUCAACAUGCCAGAGAGGACCAAAGAUGGGCCGAAAGCAAGGGCAGACUUGAAAUCAAUGGGCAUCAGGGAGGAGCUUCACGCUAAUGAGGCGAAGCAGGACACGGAAAGUCGUCGCAAAGGCAAAAAGGCCAAGAAGACCGGAAAUGACUUCCCUCCCGCGUGCUUCACUCUAAGUCAGGAGAUCGAUCAGUUUUUCACCUGCCUCGUAGGAGUAAAACUUCCUUACGGUUACACGGGGAAGAUAAGUAGAUACCUAGACUCAGCGAAGCAGAAGUCCAGCGGGAUGAAGUCUCACGACUGUCACGUGCUGAUGACGCAGAUACUUCCAGUUGCAAUCCGUGGGAUCAUGGACGCGCACGUCCGUGAAACGCUAUUUGGCCUAUGCAACUUUUUCGACGUCAUCUCUCGGAAGUCGGUUGGCGUGAGGCAACUCAGAAGGCUACAGGAAGAGAUCGUGGUGAUACUAUGCGAGCUUGAGAUGUACUUCCCGCCCGCAUUCUUCGACGUUAUGGUGCAUCUGCUGGUCCAUAUCGUGGAGGAUAUCAUCCAACUC